UGCACGAGAGCCCAUCGGCACAGGGUCGCCACUUGUGCAUGGAAUCCGUCGAACGCCUGGUUGAUUUCACUAACCAUGUUGCUGAUCUUUUCCCUGAUCUCCCAGUCCAGAGAAUCAAGGAGGACAAACAGGGCUGGGUGGUGAGGGCAAAGGACCCCUCCAAAAAACUGAUGGACUUUGGUAUUCGUUUCACUCCACUCGAUAUAACCAUCAGGGAUACUGUGGAUUGCUUCAGAAGCAAAGGGCUCAUCUAGCCCGUGAACAUGUACCGUUGUUUGUCUGCCUCAAAAAA
Long non-coding RNA from Panicum virgatum (switchgrass), 292 nucleotides. RefSeq lists it as uncharacterized. The record is from RefSeq and is a predicted model, not a curated record. NCBI's taxonomy places the organism in Eukaryota, Viridiplantae, Streptophyta, Magnoliopsida, Poales, Poaceae. The transcript has 2 exons.